Molecule: ribosomal RNA, 490 nt
Filed under: uncultured bacterium
Lineage: Bacteria
Description: partial 16S ribosomal RNA
Rfam family: Bacterial small subunit ribosomal RNA
Source: RNAcentral
AGUGAAUGCUGGCGGCAGGCCUAACACAUGCAAGUCGAACGGCAGCACAAGAGAGCUUGCUCUCUGGGUGGCGAGUGGCGGACGGGUGAGGAAUGCAUCGGAAUCUGCCCAUUUGUGGGGGAUAACCUCGGGAAACCGGGACUAAUACCGCAUACGACCUACGGGUGAAAGCAGGGGAUCUUCGGACCUUGCGCAGAUGGAUGAGCCGAUGCCGGAUUAGCUAGUUGGAGGGGUAAAGGCCCACCAAGGCGACGAUCCGUAGCUGGUCUGAGAGGAUGAUCAGCCGCACUGGGACUGAGACACGGCCCAGACUCCUACGGGAGGCAGCAGUGGGGAAUAUUGGACAAUGGGCGCAAGCCUGAUCCAGCCAUGCCGCGUGUGUGAAGAAGGCCUUCGGGUUGUAAAGCACUUUUGUUGGGAAAGAAAAGCAGCCGGUUAAUACCCGGUUGUCAUGACGGUACCCAAAGAAUAAGCACCGGCUAACUUCGUG